This 366-nucleotide ribosomal RNA is filed under the name Triticum aestivum (bread wheat). Its description in RNAcentral is "partial small subunit ribosomal RNA". Lineage: Eukaryota; Viridiplantae; Streptophyta; Magnoliopsida; Poales; Poaceae. The record is from RNAcentral.
AUGCACUACAAGCUAAAGGUGUGCUAUCUAAUACAGAUCAAUGAACAGAUCUUGCUGUGUUGUGAUGAACAGAUCCUUCAAAGUACCAGUUGUAAUGCAGCAGCAGGCCAUAUAUUGGUACAAAGAAACCAUAUAAACUGGAUUCAGUCACAAAAAAGACCAUGUCCAUAUAAGUUCUCUUAUCUGUUGGUGUGGAUUUUCUUUAGGAACUUACUUGGUGUGAAAUUAUGUUCCUGCUUUAAUAGCCAAAUCAAUAUCAACAGCUAUAUAUUCCAGUAUUUACUCCUUUCCACUUCUGUUCUACUAAUGUGUGCCUACUUUUGUACAAUGCUCUUAACUGAAAUUGGUUGGUCAUGCAGACAGUAG